RNAcentral lists this long non-coding RNA (344 nucleotides) under Rattus norvegicus (Norway rat). RNAcentral's name for it is "long non-coding RNA NONRATT014366". The record is from RNAcentral. Lineage: Eukaryota; Metazoa; Chordata; Mammalia; Rodentia; Muridae.
CUGGCCUCAGCUUCAGGGCAAGGCUUGUGCAUGACUGAGGUCUGCCCAUUGAAGGCCAUAAUUUUCAAAGAUUUCUAACUAUCUGGUUUCAAAAAUAAUAAUAAUAAUUGGUCUGUGGUAGAAUUGGAAGCCACCUGCCUGGGUCAACAGUCGGGGUAGAGGAGCAGUGGAGGCCCCAGUGCUGCCCGGCUCUGACUGCAUGUUUCUCCUCCCUUCUUCAGGUGACCCCAGGGUUCGAGGAAAAGGAAGGAGACACCGCCGUGUUCAAGGAUGAUAGGUACUGGAUCCGAGGGCGUACAUCAGUGGACAUCAUCAAGACUGGAGGCUAUAAAGUCAGCGCCCUG